Molecule: ribosomal RNA, 797 nt
Filed under: uncultured Sphaerochaeta sp.
Lineage: Bacteria; Pseudomonadati; Spirochaetota; Spirochaetia; Spirochaetales; Sphaerochaetaceae
Description: bacterial SSU rRNA
Rfam family: Bacterial small subunit ribosomal RNA
Source: RNAcentral
AGAGUUUGAUUAUGGCUCAGAACGAACGCUGGCGGCGCGUUUUAAGCAUGCAAGUCGAGCGGCAAGGGCCUUCGGGCCCCUAGAGCGGCGGACGGGUGAGUAACACGUGGACAAUCUGCCCCCCGGCCGGGGAUAGCCCAGGGAAACCUGGAUUAAUACCGGAUGAGACGGGACCCGCGGAGGCGGGAUCCGGGAAAGGCGCUGCGGCGCCGCCGGGGGAUGAGUCUGCGUCCCAUUAGCUUGACGGCGGGGUAACGGCCCACCGUGGCGACGAUGGGUAGCCGGCCUGAGAGGGUGUACGGCCACAUUGGAACUGAGACACGGUCCAGACUCCUACGGGAGGCAGCAGCUAAGAAUCUUCCGCAAUGGGCGAAAGCCUGACGGAGCGACGCCGCGUGAACGAAGAAGGCCGUGAGGUUGUAAAGUUCUUUUCGGGAGGGGGAACAACCGUGGCAGGGAAUGGCCGCGGGAUGACGUGAAUCCCGGAAUAAGCCCCGGCUAACUACGUGCCAGCAGCCGCGGUAACACGUAGGGGGCGAGCGUUGUUCGGAAUCAUUGGGCGUAAAGGGCGUGCAGGCGGUCCUGCAAGUCCGGCGUGAAAGACCCCGGCCCAACCGGGGGGGCGCGCUGGAAACUGCAGGGCUUGAGUACAGGAGGGGAUGCCGGAAUUCCAGGUGUAGGGGUGAAAUCUGUAGAUAUCUGGAGGAACACCAAUGGCGAAGGCAGGCAUCUGGCCAUGUACUGACGCUGAGACGCGAAGGUGCGGGGAGCAAACAGGAUUAGAUACCCUGGUAGUC